This 220-nucleotide ribosomal RNA is filed under the name uncultured bacterium. RNAcentral's name for it is "partial 16S ribosomal RNA". It matches the Rfam family "Bacterial small subunit ribosomal RNA", at positions 111 to 334 of the family's 1533-position model. The record is from RNAcentral.
UAAUGUAUGGGGAUCUGCCCGAUAGAGGGGGAGUAAUACUGGAAACGGCGGCUAAUACCGCAUAAUGUCUACGGACCAAAGCAGGGGCUCUUCGGACCUUGCACUAUCGGAUGAACCCAUAUGGGAUUAGCUAGUAGGUGGGGUAAAGGCUCACCUAGGCGACGAUCUCUAGCUGGUCUGAGAGGAUGAUCAGCCACACUGGGACUGAGACACGGCCCAG